UGUGUUCAAUCAGAAAACUCAAACCUUAGUAGAGGCUGUGAGUAAUACCAACAACAGCUUCAAUGUGACCAUAAAUCCCAACAGAGUCAAAAUAAUAGCAGGUCCAGUUCCAUCUACAACUACCACAUCUACAAAUGCUGCACCAAUCAACGUGAAUGGCACCCAAUCAAGUGGAGUGAGCCACAAGAUCAGUCUCGUUACUGCAUCCUGCCUGGUAUUGUUGUCAUGGAUACUAUCAAGCCAGCAAUAGAAUCAGUGCUGAUUACCAUUUGAAUUGCUAGCAGACUAUGACUGCCAUUACUGGUAUGAACAAGCACUUUGUUGUCGGUAAAAAUCCAAG
Long non-coding RNA from Micropterus dolomieu (smallmouth bass), 340 nucleotides. RefSeq lists it as uncharacterized. NCBI's taxonomy places the organism in Eukaryota, Metazoa, Chordata, Actinopteri, Centrarchiformes, Centrarchidae. The record is from RefSeq and is a predicted model, not a curated record. The transcript is spliced from 3 exons.